UACGAAGGGGGCUAGCGUUGCUCGGAAUUACUGGGCGUAAAGGGAGCGUAGGCGGGUUAUCAAGUUGGGGGUGAAAGCCCGGGGCUCAACCUCGGAAUUGCCUUCAAAACUGAUAACCUGGAGUAUGGAAGAGGUAAGUGGAAUUCCGAGUGUAGAGGUGAAAUUCGUAGAUAUUCGGAGGAACACCAGUGGCGAAGGCGACUUACUGGUCCAUUACUGACGCUGAGGCUCGAAAGCGUGGGGAGCAAACAGG
This 253-nucleotide ribosomal RNA is filed under the name uncultured bacterium. RNAcentral's name for it is "partial 16S ribosomal RNA". It matches the Rfam family "Bacterial small subunit ribosomal RNA", at positions 524 to 776 of the family's 1533-position model. The record is from RNAcentral.